GCAUAUCAAUAAGCGGAGGAAAAGAAACCAACCGGGAUUGCCUCAGUAACGGCGAGUGAAGCGGCAAGAGCUCAAAUUUGAAAGCUGGCUCCUUCGGGGUCCGCAUUGUAAUUUGCAGAGGAUGCUUCGGGUGCGGCCCCUGUCUAAGUGCCCUGGAACGGGCCGUCAGAGAGGGUGAGAAUCCCGUCUGGGAUGGGGUGUCCGCGCCCGUGUGAAGCUCCUUCGACGAGUCGAGUUGUUUGGGAAUGCAGCUCUAAAUGGGUGGUAAAUUUCAUCUAAAGCUAAAUACUGGCCGGAGACCGAUAGCGCACAAGUAGAGUGAUCGAAAGAUGAAAAGCACUUUGAAAAGAGAGUUAAAAAGCACGUGAAAUUGUUGAAAGGGAAGCGCUUGCGACCAGACUCGCCUCCAGGGUUCAGCCGGCAUUCGUGCCGGUGUACUUCCCUGGGGGCGGGCCAGCGUCGGUUUGGGCGGCCGGUCAAAGGCUCCCGGAAUGUAGUGCCCUUCGGGGCACCUUAUAGCCGGGAGUGCAAUGCGGCCAGCCUGGACCGAGGAACGCGCUUCGGCACGGACGCUGGCAUAAUGGUCGCAAACGACCCGUCUUGAAACACGGACCAAGGAGUCUAACAUCUACGCGAGUGUUCGGGUGUCAAACCCGUACGCGCAGUGAAAGCGAACGGAGGUGGGAGCCCCCUCGCGGGGCGCACCAUCGACCGAUCCUGAUGUCUUCGGAUGGAUUUGAGUAAGAGCGUAAAUGUGGGGACCCGAAAGAUGGUGAACUAUGCCUGAAUAGGGCGAAGCCAGAGGAAACUCUGGUGGAGGCUCGCAGCGGUUCUGACGUGCAAAUCGAUCGUCAAAUUUGGGUAUAGGGGCGAAAGACUAAUCGAACCAUCUAGUAGCUGGUUCCUGCC
Molecule: ribosomal RNA, 909 nt
Filed under: Aspergillus toxicarius
Lineage: Eukaryota; Fungi; Ascomycota; Eurotiomycetes; Eurotiales; Aspergillaceae
Description: LSU rRNA
Rfam family: Eukaryotic large subunit ribosomal RNA
Source: RNAcentral